Molecule: long non-coding RNA, 1119 nt
Organism: Aedes aegypti (yellow fever mosquito)
Lineage: Eukaryota; Metazoa; Arthropoda; Insecta; Diptera; Culicidae
Exons: 2
Source: RefSeq, a predicted model, not a curated record
CGUAACCUUAGCAAAAGUAGGAAUUGUUAAUGAAAAAAUAUUAAGCCAAUCAGAAAUAAAUGUAUUAAUCACAGAUUUAGCUAAAGAAAAUAUUACAGCUCGUUCAGCCAUAGAAGCCAUUUCAUAUGCCACAACAUCAGUAGUCUCGAAUGACUUAGAGAUUGCUCUCAUCAUCAAGAUGCCGAAAUUAGAUUCAAGGAAUUUCAACAAAGUGCAACUCAUCCCGAUUGUUUUUGACCAGAAACAAAUACACAUACCAAACCCAUUCUAUCUCAUCCACAACAGCGAGAUUUAUCAGGUCAACUCAGUUGAACCAACUAUUUAUGAAAGUCGAGAAACUCGUUUGGGUAACUCGAAAUGUAUACCCCAACUACUGAAAGGAAAUCCUGCAGUUUGCAAUUUUACCACAAACCCAGUUACAAAGCAAAUCACCUAUCUGGAUGAUCAACAUCUAUUUAUAAAUUCAUUAAUGAAUUUCACCCUCACCUCUAAUUGUGGAAUAACAAACAGAACUCUCUCCGGAUCUUUCCUACUCCAUUUUAAUAAUUGUCAUGUGAACAUAAACAAUGUUCUGUACGACAAAAGAACCCAGACACUUCCAGGAAAACCGAUUCAAUUACCAUUGAAUGGAAUAGAGAUUAAGAUGCACCAAGAAAUUCUCAAUAUUAGUUUGGAACAUCUCCAUAAACUACAACAACAGACCAGGAAAGAAUUGGGUAAAAUUCGUUUAUCAUCCAUAAGUCUGCAUUGGCCUCAUUGAAAGAGAACCAUCAUUAACAACCUUCCUCAAAUUUCAAAAGGAAUUACAUCAAGAACAAUCACCAACAACUUUCCACAGAUUUCAAAAGAAAUUAAAUCAGGACAUCAACAAACUAUUUUUCGGAACCUGUCACCAGCAGAAUUGAUUCAGAUGGAACCUCAUCACUAAGGCGGGAGGAGUUAACUAUUGAACCAGGCUGAAGCCGUAAUGAAUAACAACAGACGCCGGUUGCAACGAAAAUAAACAACGAGUCGGAUAGCAGAAUAGACUCAACAACAAGUGGCAAAGCAGUAGAUCAGAGCUGUAAUAUAUUGAUUGGAAUAAAAUAAAAAUCAGUUGGAGUUAGGUCGUCGAUCGAA